RNAcentral lists this unclassified non-coding RNA (237 nucleotides) under Hevea brasiliensis (rubber tree). Lineage: Eukaryota; Viridiplantae; Streptophyta; Magnoliopsida; Malpighiales; Euphorbiaceae. The record is from RNAcentral.
GAAAGCGAAGAAUUCCACCCCAUGCCAAGAUGCUAGACAUUCGGGGGUUCAAAAAAGAAAUACACAUCAAGGAGUCAGGCUGCGCAGCAGUUAGAGACUGUUAGUUUUGGCAGACGACUCGGGGACGUCCUUCCAGUCCUCCAGUUUAAGGGUUUUCCUUGAAUAAUAACAUUAAAAAGAAUCAUGGAAUCACCAUGCGAGUUUUUCAUUCGCUUAUUCAACGAUGCUGGUGCGGUC